This 121-nucleotide non-coding RNA is filed under the name Erpetoichthys calabaricus (reedfish). Lineage: Eukaryota; Metazoa; Chordata; Cladistia; Polypteriformes; Polypteridae. The record is from RNAcentral.
GAGUAGAAAGGAGAGAAGGUUAGCACUCCCCUUGACAAGGAUGAAAAAGGUCCUAGAGGCCUUACAACACAUAUAUGGAUAAGGCAUUGCCACCUUCUGGCAUCUCUAACCAUGUUUAUUU